UUUAAAGUCUGACCUGCCCAAUGAGGAGUUGAAUGGCCGCGGUAAUUUGACCGUGCAAAGGUAGCAUAAUCAUUAGUUUUUUAAUUGAAAGCUGGAAUGAACGGUUGGACGAGAAAAUAACUGUCUCAAUUUAAUUGGAUGUAGAAUUUUAUUUAUAAGUAAAAAAGCUUAUAUGAAUUUAAAAGACGAGAAGACCCUAUAGAGUUUUAUAGUUUUUUGUAUUAAAAAAUUUUAGUAUGUUUAUAUUUUUGAUGUAAAAAAUUAUUUUGCUGGGGCAGCAGAAAAAUUUAUUAAACUUUUUUUAUAUAAUUUUACAUUGAUUUAUGAUUUGAUGAUCCAUUAUUAAUGAUUAUAAGAUUAAAUUACCUUAGGGAUAACAGCGUAAUUUUUUUUUAGAGUUCUUAUCGAAAAAAGAGUUUGCGACCUCGAUGUUGGAUUAAAAUUAACUUUUGGUGUAGGGGCUAAAUGGUUAGGUCUGUUCGACCUUUAAAAUUUUACAUGAUCUGAGUUUAAACCGGCGUGAGCCAGGUUGGUUUCUAUCUUUAAAAAGAAUGGAUAUCUUAGUACGAAAGGAUCAGAUAUCCUUAAAAUUUAAUAUAUUAUGAAUUGGAUUAAAUUA
RNAcentral lists this ribosomal RNA (619 nucleotides) under Anomala chamaeleon. RNAcentral's name for it is "partial 16S ribosomal RNA". It matches the Rfam family "Bacterial large subunit ribosomal RNA", at positions 1844 to 2756 of the family's 2925-position model. Lineage: Eukaryota; Metazoa; Arthropoda; Insecta; Coleoptera; Scarabaeidae. The record is from RNAcentral.